Molecule: ribosomal RNA, 1556 nt
Filed under: Salmonella enterica subsp. enterica serovar Enteritidis
Lineage: Bacteria; Pseudomonadati; Pseudomonadota; Gammaproteobacteria; Enterobacterales; Enterobacteriaceae
Description: bacterial SSU rRNA
Rfam family: Bacterial small subunit ribosomal RNA
Source: RNAcentral
UUAAAUUGAAGAGUUUGAUCAUGGCUCAGAUUGAACGCUGGCGGCAGGCCUAACACAUGCAAGUCGAACGGUAACAGGAAGCAGCUUGCUGCUUUGCUGACGAGUGGCGGACGGGUGAGUAAUGUCUGGGAAACUGCCUGAUGGAGGGGGAUAACUACUGGAAACGGUGGCUAAUACCGCAUAACGUCGCAAGACCAAAGAGGGGGACCUUCGGGCCUCUUGCCAUCAGAUGUGCCCAGAUGGGAUUAGCUUGUUGGUGAGGUAACGGCUCACCAAGGCGACGAUCCCUAGCUGGUCUGAGAGGAUGACCAGCCACACUGGAACUGAGACACGGUCCAGACUCCUACGGGAGGCAGCAGUGGGGAAUAUUGCACAAUGGGCGCAAGCCUGAUGCAGCCAUGCCGCGUGUAUGAAGAAGGCCUUCGGGUUGUAAAGUACUUUCAGCGGGGAGGAAGGUGUUGUGGUUAAUAACCGCAGCAAUUGACGUUACCCGCAGAAGAAGCACCGGCUAACUCCGUGCCAGCAGCCGCGGUAAUACGGAGGGUGCAAGCGUUAAUCGGAAUUACUGGGCGUAAAGCGCACGCAGGCGGUCUGUCAAGUCGGAUGUGAAAUCCCCGGGCUCAACCUGGGAACUGCAUUCGAAACUGGCAGGCUUGAGUCUUGUAGAGGGGGGUAGAAUUCCAGGUGUAGCGGUGAAAUGCGUAGAGAUCUGGAGGAAUACCGGUGGCGAAGGCGGCCCCCUGGACAAAGACUGACGCUCAGGUGCGAAAGCGUGGGGAGCAAACAGGAUUAGAUACCCUGGUAGUCCACGCCGUAAACGAUGUCUACUUGGAGGUUGUGCCCUUGAGGCGUGGCUUCCGGAGCUAACGCGUUAAGUAGACCGCCUGGGGAGUACGGCCGCAAGGUUAAAACUCAAAUGAAUUGACGGGGGCCCGCACAAGCGGUGGAGCAUGUGGUUUAAUUCGAUGCAACGCGAAGAACCUUACCUGGUCUUGACAUCCACAGAAGAAUCCAGAGAUGGAUUUGUGCCUUCGGGAACUGUGAGACAGGUGCUGCAUGGCUGUCGUCAGCUCGUGUUGUGAAAUGUUGGGUUAAGUCCCGCAACGAGCGCAACCCUUAUCCUUUGUUGCCAGCGGUUAGGCCGGGAACUCAAAGGAGACUGCCAGUGAUAAACUGGAGGAAGGUGGGGAUGACGUCAAGUCAUCAUGGCCCUUACGACCAGGGCUACACACGUGCUACAAUGGCGCAUACAAAGAGAAGCGACCUCGCGAGAGCAAGCGGACCUCAUAAAGUGCGUCGUAGUCCGGAUUGGAGUCUGCAACUCGACUCCAUGAAGUCGGAAUCGCUAGUAAUCGUGGAUCAGAAUGCCACGGUGAAUACGUUCCCGGGCCUUGUACACACCGCCCGUCACACCAUGGGAGUGGGUUGCAAAAGAAGUAGGUAGCUUAACCUUCGGGAGGGCGCUUACCACUUUGUGAUUCAUGACUGGGGUGAAGUCGUAACAAGGUAACCGUAGGGGAACCUGCGGUUGGAUCACCUCCUUACCUGAAAGAAGC